This is a long non-coding RNA of Canis lupus familiaris (dog), 240 nucleotides long. RefSeq lists it as uncharacterized. The transcript has 3 exons. NCBI's taxonomy places the organism in Eukaryota, Metazoa, Chordata, Mammalia, Carnivora, Canidae. The record is from RefSeq and is a predicted model, not a curated record.
AAGAGCAUUUAGCAUAACAUUAGCAUAUGCUUUCUUAAAUAUACUUUCCUUAAUAAAACAUAUUCUUACUAAUAGACCAGGGGAUACAUGGUCUUAGUAUCAGAAUAUGAUAUAGAGCUUCAACCCAUCUGACCAGUACCAAAGUUGUCUUCCUAACAUAGUCUGCUGCUCAAGAUACUUAUUAGAAAACCUUCAAAUUAUCCUGAAAAUCUAUGAAUUCGGCCUGAGAUUUAAAGAGAG